CGUCCGGCGACCGGCGCACGGGUGAGUAACACGUAUGCAACCUGCCCGUGGCAGGGGGAUAAGCGGGGGAAACCCCGUCUAAUACCGCGUAACGCGGCCUUGGGGCAUCCCAAGGCCGCCAAAGGGAGCAAUCCCGGCCACGGAUGGGCAUGCGGCGCAUUAGCUAGUCGGCGGGGUAACGGCCCACCGAGGCGACGAUGCGUAGGGGUUCUGAGAGGAAGGCCCCCCACACUGGUACUGAGACACGGACCAGACUCCUACGGAAGGCAGCAG
RNAcentral lists this ribosomal RNA (273 nucleotides) under uncultured bacterium. RNAcentral describes it as "partial 16S ribosomal RNA". It matches the Rfam family "Bacterial small subunit ribosomal RNA", at positions 85 to 354 of the family's 1533-position model. The record is from RNAcentral.